This 498-nucleotide ribosomal RNA is filed under the name uncultured Sporosarcina sp. RNAcentral's name for it is "bacterial SSU rRNA". It matches the Rfam family "Bacterial small subunit ribosomal RNA", at positions 8 to 486 of the family's 1533-position model. Lineage: Bacteria; Bacillati; Bacillota; Bacilli; Caryophanales; Caryophanaceae. The record is from RNAcentral.
AGAGUUUGAUCCUGGCUCAGGACGAACGCUGGCGGCGUGCCUAAUACAUGCAAGUCGAGCGGAAUGAUGAAGAAGCUUGCUUCUUCUGAUUUUAGCGGCGGACGGGUGAGUAACACGUGGGCAACCUACCUUGUAGAUUGGGAUAACUCCGGGAAACCGGGGCUAAUACCGAAUAAUCCAUUUUGCUUCAUGGCAAGAUGUUGAAAGGCGGCUUCGGCUGUCACUACGAGAUGGGCCCGCGGCGUAUUAGCUAGUUGGUAGGGUAAUGGCCUACCAAGGCGACGAUACGUAGCCGACCUGAGAGGGUGAUCGGCCACACUGGGACUGAGACACGGCCCAGACUCCUACGGGAGGCAGCAGUAGGGAAUCUUCCACAAUGGACGAAAGUCUGAUGGAGCAACGCCGCGUGAGUGAAGAAGGUUUUCGGAUCGUAAAACUCUGUUGUAAGGGAAGAACACGUACGAGAGUAACUGCUCGUACCUGACGGUACCUAUAGAA